UGUUGGGGGGGUCACUGAUAAGGGGAUCAUGUGUUGGGAGGCCACUGCUGAGGGGAUGGUGUUGGGGGCUCAGGUAGGAAGAGAUGGAUCUUUCUCACCAUUCCUGGUGACAGAAACAACGGGAGAGGGAGCAGAGUCAUCCUGCCCCCCUGGGAAGAGCCAAAUGCAAGUUCCUGCUGCUCCAGGGCUCGGCCUCUUGCUGCCACCUUUGCUGCCCUCUCUGGUCACCUGCCCCUGACCCAGCUGUGGUGGCUGUGGAGCACCGUGGUCUGGAUGAACUGGCAGAGACAGGGAACGCUGCUGUGCUCCACGUGUCCCCCUGCCCCGGCCCGAGGGAGCCGGCCCGUGACCAGGAGCCGGACGUAGCAUCCACUGAAGAUCACCAGGAGCUGCUGGGCCAUCGCCUGGAAGGAGCAAGAGAGAGGUCAGAGCAGGGCAUCCCUGUGGGCAGGGCAGAGGAGACAUUAAACACCAUUUUCUCCCUGCUUCAAGGACUGUCCAGCUCUGCCAGGAGCAGGACAGCAGCCAAUGGCACGGAUAACUGUCCCAGAUCCCCUUCUGGCCAGCAGUGCUGUCCCCACAGGGGGGUGACACCGAGUGACCGCUGGCCCGCGGGUGGCCCUGGGGACCUGCCCGCUCUGUCCCUGCCUGUAGACAGCCAGAGAGCCUCAAUCUGCAGGGAUGUCACCUGCACUGAAUUCACUCAGCAACAGUGACAGGAAAGCUGCAAAAUAAAUCAAAAUCAUCCCUUUGGUAGCUCCAUGCUGAGCAGGAAUCAGGACACAUUUGUUGCUCAGCGUGGCACAAGUCUUUGAAGGCACUUUCCAUGGAGGAGACAAAGGCUGGGCACAUCCAGGGCUCAGCCCCAGCCUGGGCAGGGGCAUCAGGGCCCUGGGUAGAGGUUUUCUACCAAACAGGACCUUGGGACCAGCAAGGAAAAGCCCAAUCCAUGAAUUCCUCAAGGAUGAAGCCCCAGCUGCUCAGACUGCUCGGCAGUGCCAGGGCUGGAGAAGUGUGUGUGGAUUUCCAGCUGAGUGAUGUGGGCUGCCAGGGCCUGGAGGCAGCGCUCGGGGCUGAAGUGCACGAACCACAGCUGGAAGGGGCAGGUCAAGGAAGGAAUCUCUCCAUGCUUCCCUCUCCCAGCCCUGGGGACGAUGGGAUGGGCCUUGCAGGGAGCAGAGCUGAGGCAGGUGGUGCCCAUGGGGUGCUCAGGGCAGCGAGGACCCAAAUUACAGGGAUUCACUCCAUUUAUUUUUUACAAAAUUGCUCAUGCUUGGUGCUGCUCUGAGGACAGAGAGUUUUCCAAGAGCAACGUUUGUUGGGGAUGUGAGUCCUGCCAGCUGCAAGGCGGCCAGAGCUCUGUCCUUUUGCACCUGCUGCACCUGCCAGCAGCACAGGGAUCAGGGAAAUGUGAAAUCCAGAGGGUUAGAACGGAUCUGACAUCGGAGCAGACAGAGCAAUUGUAAAUCCCUGGCUUAUUUGCUGCUCUCAGGCAGUUUUGGGACAGGUAGGUAAAGGUGAAGGUUCCUUGGAUUAGUCCUCUAAUGGACUCUGCUGGCCUGAAUAAAUGUGGAAUUCAGGUUUAUAAACAUGGAAUUCAGGUUUAUAGGGGUUUCCUCCUCAUCCUGAAUGACUUUGCCCUCCUGCAGUGCUCCCUGUCCCUUUCCCUGCUUCACCCUGGCUUUCCUCUCCAUUUGAAUUUCAAGCCCCUCUCUGUGUUUCUCUCACCUUCCUUUAACACCUUCACGGAGUCUUAAAACUCUCUUCAUUCCCUUUUAAAUCCCUGUCUAGUCCAGAAAAAUCAUCUCUGAAAAGCAGCAGACGAGCCCAGGGAUGGGGAUUUUGGUUUUCUCCACAUUCGAGUUUUUGGGGGACUGUUUGCUUUUUCUCCCUCUUGGUUCUUUUGGGGUUUGGUUUUUUUUUUUUGCCAUAGGAACUUUGCCAUCACUCUGCCUGUAGGCAGAAUCACCAGCGUCACAGGAGUAUAACAUAUUUUUAGGAAUAAUUGUCUGCCCUAAGGAAUCCCAUUUCAAUCCUUUAGACUCAUUAUUUCCAGUCACCUCUGGGCAUAUCUCAAUGCCCACUUGCAGGAGAAAUAAAAACUUCCCAGUUCCUUGUGCCAUCCCAUAGGAGACAAACCAGAUCCUAGGAAUCCCAGCCUCUGGAUCACAACAGCAAGAAAUACCUGCAGAGCAGGAGGGAUCUGACCAAUUCCCAGCAGAAAGGAUACUUGAAGGAUGUUGUGUGGCCCAUCCAGGACACCUGUAAUACCCAGGAUUAUGCUGUGCUUGAUAAAGAUUUCAUUGACA
Molecule: long non-coding RNA, 2309 nt
Organism: Corvus hawaiiensis (hawaiian crow)
Lineage: Eukaryota; Metazoa; Chordata; Aves; Passeriformes; Corvidae
Exons: 4
Source: RefSeq, a predicted model, not a curated record